RNAcentral lists this unclassified non-coding RNA (331 nucleotides) under soil metagenome. RNAcentral's name for it is "partial contains 5.8S ribosomal RNA, internal transcribed spacer 2, and large subunit ribosomal RNA". The stretch from base 1 to 120 matches the Rfam family "5.8S ribosomal RNA", at positions 35 to 154 of the family's 154-position model. The record is from RNAcentral.
GAUGAAGAACGCAGCGAAAUGCGAUAAGUAAUGUGAAUUGCAGAAUUCAGUGAAUCAUCGAAUCUUUGAACGCACAUUGCGCCCGCCAGUAUUCUGGCGGGCAUGCCUGUUCGAGCGUCAUUUCAACCAUCAAGCCCCAGGCUUGUGUUGGGGGCCUGCAGCUGCUGCAGCCCCCUAAAAGCAGUGGCGGACUCGCUGUCAUACCGAGCGCAGUGGUUACAUCUCGCUCUGGGCAUGGCGGCGGGCACCUGCCGUAAAACACUCUUUCUAAGGUUGACCUCGGAUCAGGUAGGAAUACCCGCUGAACUUAAGCAUAUCAAUAAGCGGAGGA